GAUGAAAGUGAAAUGACCAAACAGGGCAUACAAGAAGCUCUCAGCCGUUGGAUUGUGGGAGAAUAAAAAGAAAGCCUCAGUGGAGGCACAACUCAAGAUAAUUGAGGAAAACUUGAAAAGAAAGAAAGCAGAAUAUGCAGAAAAGAUGAAGAAUAAGAUAGCUGAUAUUCAUAGGUCAGCAGAAGAGAAAAGGACAAUGGUUGAAGCUCAAAAGAGGGAAGAGUUUAUCGAGUUAGAGGAAACAGCUGCAAAGUUUCGUAGUAGUGGUUGUACACCAGCCAAAUUCUUUGCAUGUUUUAAAGCAUAAGUUUUCUUUUUUUUUUCUCUAUUUAGCUAACUACAAAAAGAUCAUAACAUUAUUGGUGUGGUUAUUACUUGUUAAUAUUCAUUUAAAGAUUUGCUU
Long non-coding RNA from Arachis ipaensis, 403 nucleotides. RefSeq lists it as uncharacterized. NCBI's taxonomy places the organism in Eukaryota, Viridiplantae, Streptophyta, Magnoliopsida, Fabales, Fabaceae. The record is from RefSeq and is a predicted model, not a curated record.